UGUGGGAGCGGGCUUGCCCGCGAAUACGGAGUGUCAGUCGACAUCUACAUGACUGAUCCACCGCCUUCGCGGGCAAGCCCGCUCCCACA
RNAcentral lists this unclassified non-coding RNA (89 nucleotides) under Pseudomonas costantinii. The record is from RNAcentral. Lineage: Bacteria; Pseudomonadati; Pseudomonadota; Gammaproteobacteria; Pseudomonadales; Pseudomonadaceae.